GUCGGAAAUGGCUGCAAACACAACUCCUGGCUUGCAAAUACAAGCAACCAAACAAUGCAUUCCUGCAUCGCAGAAUGUUUCGAAAAUGAGCACUAUGAGUUUCAAUUUUGGAAGUAAAAGAAAAUCUUUUACUGAUUUUAGAAGUUCAUCACAUAUCUCGCUCGCGAAGCCAAUCCAUAGCUUCAAAUUGGCUCCUAUAAAAUUUGAAAGGAUGGUUACAAAAGCAAUGUCUGGAGCUAGUGAACAAGUGCCAGUUUCAGGGUUGCCUAUUGAUCUGAGAGGUAAGAGGGCAUUUAUUGCUGGCAUAGCAGAUGACAAUGGGUAUGGAUGGGCAAUAGCAAAGUCUCUUGCUGCUGCAGGGGCUGAAAUUCUUGUUGGUACAUGGGUGCCUGCGCUCAACAUUUUCGAGACCAGUCUGCGCCGUGGGAAAUUUGACCAAUCACGAGUGUUGCCUGAUGGUUCAUUGAUGGAAAUUGCAAAAGUCUACCCAUUGGAUGCCGUUUUUGACAGUCCAGAAGAUGUUCCUGAGGAUGUGAAAACAAACAAACGUUACGCUGGAUCCUCAAAGUGGACUGUCUCGGAAGUUGCUGAAUCUGUAAAACAAGAUUUUGGCACUAUUGACAUCCUU
RNAcentral lists this unclassified non-coding RNA (628 nucleotides) under Hevea brasiliensis (rubber tree). Lineage: Eukaryota; Viridiplantae; Streptophyta; Magnoliopsida; Malpighiales; Euphorbiaceae. The record is from RNAcentral.